GCCGGCAGCUAGCUCUCUGCAUCUCUCACAUGGUCGCCCACUGAAAUUAAGCAUGGCUGCGAAGCGGUCAGUACCUGGAUGGGAGACCACAUGGGAAAACUAGGUUGCUGCCGGAA
This is a ribosomal RNA of Danio rerio (zebrafish), 116 nucleotides long. Lineage: Eukaryota; Metazoa; Chordata; Actinopteri; Cypriniformes; Danionidae. The record is from Ensembl.